GUGUUAAUACAUGUUAGACAAAUGAUAUGUAAAUCAUUCUCCUAAACUCAUGCCAUACAACAAGAAAAAAUAGAAAUGAUAAAGCACGAAGGCUAUGAGGAUGGUCCAUUAAUUCAAUCCAUACUUCAUGAAACUUAGGACAAACUUAUACAUCAAUCCAAAGUACCUUAAAUGAUCCAUGAUCAAUUAGGAGGUAGAUUUGAAAUGAUGAAAGUUUAUCAAGC
Molecule: long non-coding RNA, 224 nt
Filed under: Lathyrus oleraceus (garden pea)
Lineage: Eukaryota; Viridiplantae; Streptophyta; Magnoliopsida; Fabales; Fabaceae
Description: Pisum sativum (pea) long non-coding RNA (PSAT_LNC038882)
Source: RNAcentral